RNAcentral lists this long non-coding RNA (4984 nucleotides) under Brassica napus (rape). RNAcentral's name for it is "long non-coding RNA (BNAP_LNC024126)". Lineage: Eukaryota; Viridiplantae; Streptophyta; Magnoliopsida; Brassicales; Brassicaceae. The record is from RNAcentral.
UCCUCCUAUUCUCCUAUCCUCCGUAUUCUCUCUCUUUUUUUCUGUCUAUCUUGUUCAUCCUAGCACAAAAUCACCCCAUAAACAAAAUCUUUCACAACCACCGUCACCAUAACCUCCGACGCCGCCAUCUCUAUCUCCUCGUUCUGUACCUCCAUCCGUCGCUGCCACCAUCAUCUUCAUCUCCACCUCCUCGUUCUCUACAUCUGCCAAUAAACUCUGUCUCAACCACUCCUUUUAUCUAUCCUCCUAUAAAAGCUUCUUCUUUUCCAGAUGCAUAUUCAUGGUUAUAGUUAACACCAACCGUAUCUCAGGUUUGUUAUAUGUUCCUUGUUUUGUUUUGAGACUUUUGAAUGAUUAGUGUUGUUUGACAAGAUUGUAACUUGAUUAAAUGGGGAUUUGACUUCAGGGACGGGGAAGAGGAAGUCGUAGUGUCACAACAUUGAUGGGUAUGUCUGAUGCAGUCCAUAUUCAAUAGCCAUUGUUCUCUCUCUGUGUUUGGAAUUUAAUUUUUGAUUUGUUUGUUCUUGUCACAGGAAGAAGCCAGAUAUGAAGAAGCUGUGCUGGUGGAGAUGGAGCCGAACAAGAAGAAGAAAAAGAGAAAGAGGGAGAAGACAGACAUAAGGAAGACGAAGAAGAUGGAAGAGGACGACGGUAACGACAGAACACGCGAUGGGAGGAAGGCAGCGGCGUAGAUUAGGUUUAGUUUUGGUUGGUUUAUUAGGUUUGGUUUAAAUAGGGUUAGUUUAAUAAACCGGGUUUUUGUAUAAACCAAUGUUAAUAAAUAAACUAAUAUUAGUUGUAAACCAAUUCUUUGUAUAGUGAUUUUAAUUAAUAAAUAAAAUUUAAUUUUUAAUUUUUAAUUAUGAAUUAUGAAUUAAUUUUUGAUUUAGUAAUUUGAAUGAUUUAAUAAUGAAUUAUGUUUUGGUUUGGUUUGGUAAUUUGUUUUUAAUAAAUUUUUGAAUAAUUAAAAAAUAAAUUAAUAACACGAAACAUUUGCUAUCCGCAUUCGAAAAAUCCGCUAUCAAAAAUGUCCGACCUAUUAUAUAGGGCACUGUCAGAACGUUUUAGGAAGCACUAUUAUAACAAAUUUAUAGCAUUUAACAGCUGCUAUUAAUAUUCACAAUAGUGAAAAAAAUGAUGGAAGCACUAAAAAGAGGAAGUUUGACGAUGGUGCACAAUCAUCAACCUCUCACGCAACUGAAAGCAAGACUUCUGAAGCUGAUGAAGGCACCAAUCGUCCCCGGGUGUUAAGGCAUCUAAGGCACGUGGUAAGAAGACGACGGUUGAGGGGAAGGGGCUGUCUGAGUUUCAGACAAUGUGGUCCAUUAAACAGCAGGAUCUGGCCAUGAAAAAAGGCUCUCAAGAUGUCUCUGCUUGACAGGCUAAUUACAAAAAAAGAACCACUGUGUGAGUGUGAGGAAGUUCUAAAGAAGAAGCUGAUUAAUGAUUUGUUGUCUGUUUGAGUUUAUGUCAUCAAUGGUUAACUAUUUAAGUUCCUUUAUAUGUUGUUUGUUGUAUUUUCGCUUAGAAAUUUAAGUUUCUGUUUGUGUUUGUUGUUCUGGUCAUGUAAUGGAUUUUCUGUAUUUCGGAAGUAUUAAAGUUCAACUUUGUGUUUCUUGUUGUUGUUCUCUUCAAAGUGUCUUUCGUGUUUGAUUUCAAGUUUGUUUUUCUUGUUCUUGUUCUCUUCUUUGGAUGGUGGCUAAACUUGUGUAUGUUGCUCUGAUUUUCAGGUUGGACAAUCAACAUACGCAGAGAGCUUUCAGUUUGGACACAAGACCGAACAAGCUUCUUGUUCUUGUUCUGAUGAUGGGGUGAGAGUUGCCAAAGAUGAGAAAGCAUCUGCACUUCGUCGAUGUCACCUUCAUACAUGUUCAGCCUUCUCUCUAUCUCUUUUCCAAUAUAUGUUUUGGAGUAAUUCUAAAAGUCAGAUUGGUGAAAACUAGUUAGGGUGAUGCUGACGAGUAUUUGGAUGUUAGUCAUUCGUAGGAAGAAAUAAAUCAUUGAAGCUGUCAUUAUAUUUAUGUGAAAAUAGAUUCGACAUUUUCGAAUGGAUAAUGAAAGUAGAGAGUCAUCAAAGUGAAUGAGCAACAAAAAACACUAAAACUCAACAAUGCUUAUUAUUGGUAUAUAUAUGUUUUUCUGUGAGUUAGGAAGCAUCGAUUGUAUGCAUUGGGAAUGGAAGAAUUGUCCCACCGCUUGGAAAGGGCAUUAUUCUCUCGGUUCUGGAAAACCCACAAUCGUUUUAGAGGCGGUUACUUCAUAUGAUCUCUGGAUAUGGCAUGCGUUUUUUGGACCUCUAAGUACCUUAAAUGAUAUCAAUGUUCUUGAUCGUUCACCUAUUUUUGAUGACAUAAUAAAUGGUCAAGUUCCGCAAGUGAAUUUCUCGGUCAACUGAAGAGAGUAUCAUUUGGCUUACUAUCUCACUGAUGGUAUUUAUCCGAAAUGAGUCCUAGCUCCUUGUGGAUUCGAUCCCUAAUUACUACAAUUGGACCUCUUAUUUGAGAGAGUAAAAUCAAUCCUUAGGAUAAUUUGAGUGAUAUCAGUUGCAUCUUCUCGUCUCCAUCACUCGUCGCUCUCUCGUCUCUCGUCCUUGGUUGCAAGGUGGAGCAGCGUCGAAGGCGGCGGCAGCGAAUCCUGAGAUUCUAUCCAAUUAGCGGAAAUGAAAAAGACAGAGGAAGAGGAUCCCGAGUUUCUCUACCAUAUGGCGUCCAUUGCUUCUAACCUGUAUAGAUGGUCCUCGCCUCGAAACCCUAGCAUAUAUUAAUCGUUGUACCUGCGUUUCUUUUCUGAUUGCUCGUGAUUGUUUUGGUGGCAGAUGAUGUUAGGUUUCUGCAAAGUUAGUUUCAUUGUAAAAUUAAAGGGCUUUUAUCUUCUUUUGUGUUUAGGUUGGAGCUGUAAGUAAUGAAAGUGUUGAACGUUCGAGUCUGUUGGAUCAAAUAGAACUUGAAUUUGAAGGUAUGUUAAGAUCUCAAUCUCUAUUUCUCAUAGUGAUUGUGUUUAUGGUUUAAUAGGACGUUGAAUCAAGCAAAAGCCUUCUAAACAUAGAAAGUCAAAUCUUUGUUAAGUCUCAGUGAUUGUUUCUUGAUUAAUUGCAGCUCAUCUCAAUGGUCAACCAAGCGGGAUCCGAUGGUGUCAAGGCUGAGUCCAAGGACGGUGAAGACCUAUAUGUAUGAACAACCUCCUCUUUUAAAUGAAUCUUUUGUUUCUUCAUGUUCUUAUGUGUCUCUUGUUCCAGCUGCUGGGAGACAGAAGAUCAUGUUGGAAGACAUGGUUGCCUAAGACAUGUUUUGUAGUAAAACAGAUAUAACUAUGCACACAGACUGCAAAGGUGGACUAGGGACAAGUAGGUGUCUGAGAAGGCGUUGGGAGUGCUCACGUGGACUGGUAAUAGGUCCACACAAUAACAAGAAGAAAGAAGGAUCCGGAAUUCAUCAAGAACAUCUCCUGUUCGGCUGUUCGUCUUUAGUUUCAUUUUCGAAUUCGGGAGAUUUAUACUUUUGAUUCUUGAAACUGAAAAGUUCUUGUCUUUAUAGCUAAAAAGUCAAUCUGUUUUGUAACUCUUUAGAAUUUUGGAGAGAUGGUUAUGAUAAUGUAUGGGAAUGUUAUAUGAUAAAAAAAAAAUCUAAUACUAAUAACAAAUUAGAAAAAGAACAAAAAAAUUAUUUUUUUACCUCACAAUCUGAACCCUAAACAUGCCCUAAACUCCAACAUCCAACACUUAUAAAAAAAUUUCAUAAUUAACAUUUGUAGAAAUUAAUAGCUAAAGCAAUAGUAUAUUACUUUAAAAAUGAUUUUAACAUGUUUUUUCAAACUUAAUCUCAUACCUUAUAUCUAAUCUAAAACUAUAUACUUAAUUCAAAUUUCCAAACCCAUUAUUCUUUACCCUAAACUCUAUUCAAAAUUAAAUUAUUUUAGUAUUUUAGUCAAUCACACAACCACAAAAAAAAAAUUUUGCUAGUCAUCUCGAAUCCUUGUAUGUUUUAGAUCUUUAAUGGAAAAACAUAUGUUAUCUUAUGAUUGUUUUUUGUUAACUCCAAACCCUAUCCUAAAAAUAAAAUAUUUUACUUCAAACCCUAAGUAUUAAACCACAAAUUAUAAAUCUAAAGUUUAAAAGUCUAAUCUUUUAAAAAUUUAUCCUCGAAUUUCACUAUAAAUCCCAAAGCCCACAACCCAUAAAUUAGAAACCACAAAACAUAAUUUUUAAAACUCCUAAACUCUAAAUCCUAAACUACAAAUACAAACCUUAUUCUAAACCCUAAGUGUAUAUUACUUUCAAAUACAUUUUUUUGAAAUCUAAAAAUUAAAAUCCAAAUUUACUCUUCCAAACUUUAACUUCAAAUUUUUAUUUUUAACCAUAAACUAUACUUCAUAAACCUCAACCUUUUUUACCUUAUUUAUAAACCUACAUAUAUCAUAAAUUUAGUCUCUAAUUCUUUUUUUUUAAAUUACAAACUUAAAAAAUAACUCUAUUUUGUAAACCCUAAAUUCCAUUUACUACAAAUAUGUGUGGCUUUGUGUAUUAAAAAGGAAAAAAAAAUAGAAAAAUCUGAUUGGUCAAAAAGUGACCACUAAGAUGCAAGUUUGAGGAUCACACUUUCUUUUAACCACAGCCAAUAGAUCAAACUAAAUCCAAUAUGGCCAAUAAUGAACAAAAUGAAAAUUUGUUUCUUCCUAUCCUCCUAUUCUCCUAUCCUCCGUAUUCUCUCUCUUUUUUUCUGUCUAUCUUGUUCAUCCUAGCACAAAAUCACCCCAUAAACAAAAUCUUUCACAACCACCGUCACCAUAACCUCCGACGCCGCCAUCUCUAUCUCCUCGUUCUGUACCUCCAUCCGUCGCUGCCACCAUCAUCUUCAUCUCCACCUCCUCGUUCUCUACAUCUGCCAAUAAACUCUGUCUCAACCACUCCUUUUAUCUAUCCUCCUAUAAAAGCUUCUUCUUUUCCAGAUGCAUAUUCAUGGUUAUAGUUAACACCAACCGUAUCUCA